UACUUUCUGUAACUUUCAUUAUCGUAUGAAAGAAUCUAAUUUCAUGUAAAAAGGGUAGGUGUAAUAAGCUCAGGCUUCAGCCUACACCUUUCACUUUAUUUUGUUUAUAUUAUCCGUGUAUUGACUGUUGUGAGUUACAGAUGUCCAGAAAAAACAAUUAAACUAAACUAAAC
Long non-coding RNA from Etheostoma spectabile (orangethroat darter), 173 nucleotides. RefSeq lists it as uncharacterized. The transcript is spliced from 2 exons. NCBI's taxonomy places the organism in Eukaryota, Metazoa, Chordata, Actinopteri, Perciformes, Percidae. The record is from RefSeq and is a predicted model, not a curated record.